RNAcentral lists this ribosomal RNA (250 nucleotides) under uncultured bacterium. RNAcentral describes it as "partial 16S ribosomal RNA". It matches the Rfam family "Bacterial small subunit ribosomal RNA", at positions 524 to 773 of the family's 1533-position model. The record is from RNAcentral.
UACGGAGGAUCCAAGCGUUAUCCGGAUUUAUUGGGUUUAAAGGGUCCGUAGGCGGGACAAUAAGUCAGUGGUGAAAGCCUAUAGCUUAACUAUAGAACUGCCAUUGAUACUGUUGUUCUUGAAUAUACUUGAAGUGGGCGGAAUAAGUCAUGUAGCGGUGAAAUGCUUAGAUAUGACUUAGAACACCGAUUGCGAAGGCAGCUCACUAAAUUAUUAUUGACGCUGAGGGACGAAAGCGUGGGGAGCGAAC